RNAcentral lists this non-coding RNA (30 nucleotides) under Rattus norvegicus (Norway rat). The record is from RNAcentral. Lineage: Eukaryota; Metazoa; Chordata; Mammalia; Rodentia; Muridae.
UACUGAAGUCCUAGCCAAGGUUGGAUUAGC